GAGAAAGCCCCGCAAGGGGAGAGUAAAGUGGCGUACGGGUGAGUAACACGUGGGUAAUCUGCUCUUUGGUGGGGAAUAACCCUGGGAAACCGGGGCUAAUACCGCAUAAGCUCGCAAGAGGAAAGGUGCAAAUCGCCGAAGAAGGAGCCCGCGGCUGAUUAGCUAGUUGGUGAGGUAAAGGCUUACCAAGGCGAAGAUCGGUAGCCGGCCUGAGAGGGCACACGGCCACACUGGCACUGAAACACGGGCCAGACUCCUACGGGAGGCAGCAGUGGGGAAUCUUGCACAAUGGGGGAAACCCUGAUGCAGCGACGCCGCGUGAGCGAUGAAGCCCUUCGGGGUGUAAAGCUCUUUCGGCAGGAACGAUAAUGACGGUACCUGAAGAAGAAGCUGCGGCUAACUACGUGCCAGCAGCCGCGGUAAUACGUAGGCAGCAAGCGUUG
RNAcentral lists this ribosomal RNA (443 nucleotides) under uncultured bacterium. Its description in RNAcentral is "bacterial SSU rRNA". It matches the Rfam family "Bacterial small subunit ribosomal RNA", at positions 68 to 543 of the family's 1533-position model. The record is from RNAcentral.